UGUUAGUUAAAGAUAUUAGAGGGUAAAUCAAGUACUUUCACAAUAAUAAAUCUGAGUGUAGGUGGAUAAGUUACUCGGUUUAAUAUAAAAGGUCCUGAAUUCAAAUUCAGAUUGAACGAUCAUGGGGUACAAAGUUUCCUGAGAUGAAAGAGCUUGUGGGCUAUGUUAAAUUAUAUCAAACAAUCGUUAUUCUCUAAUAGUUUAAGUUAUCAAAGAACGGUGUUUUUAACAUUUAUACUCAACACUUCAGUACUCCCCCUCACGUCUGGUCUCAAUUUGAUAGUUCUGCUCUGAUAUCAUGUUAAAUUAUAUAAAACAGUCGUUAUUCUCUAAUAGCUUAAGCUACCAAAAAAUGAUGUUUUUAACAUUUACCUUCAACCGUCUAUAUU
This 389-nucleotide long non-coding RNA is filed under the name Ananas comosus (pineapple). Its description in RNAcentral is "long non-coding RNA (ACOM_LNC024808)". The record is from RNAcentral. Lineage: Eukaryota; Viridiplantae; Streptophyta; Magnoliopsida; Poales; Bromeliaceae.